RNAcentral lists this microRNA precursor (63 nucleotides) under Gekko japonicus. Its description in RNAcentral is "Gja-Mir-130-P1b_pre stem-loop". Lineage: Eukaryota; Metazoa; Chordata; Lepidosauria; Squamata; Gekkonidae. The record is from RNAcentral.
GCCCUUUUUGUGUUGUACUACUAGCAAACCUGCACAAAAAGCAGUGCAAUGUUAAAAGGGCAU